GUUCUAGUGGUUAGAACGCUGGCCUUGUAAUCCUGGGGUCCCGGGUUCAAUUCCCGG
Molecule: transfer RNA, 57 nt
Filed under: Zootermopsis nevadensis
Lineage: Eukaryota; Metazoa; Arthropoda; Insecta; Blattodea; Termopsidae
Rfam family: tRNA
About the family: Transfer RNA (tRNA) molecules are approximately 80 nucleotides in length. Their secondary structure includes four short double-helical elements and three loops (D, anti-codon, and T loops). Further hydrogen bonds mediate the characteristic L-shaped molecular structure. tRNAs have two regions of fundamental functional importance: the anti-codon, which is responsible for specific mRNA codon recognition, and the 3' end, to which the tRNAs corresponding amino acid is attached (by aminoacyl-tRNA synthetases). tRNAs cope with the degeneracy of the genetic code in two manners: having more than one tRNA (with a specific anti-codon) for a particular amino acid; and 'wobble' base-pairing, i.e. permitting non-standard base-pairing at the 3rd anti-codon position.
Source: Rfam by way of RNAcentral